ACGGAAGGCAGCAGUGGGGAAUAUUGGGCAAUGGACGAAAGUCUGACCCAGCGACGCCGCGUGAGGGAAGAAGGUCUUCGGAUUGUAAACUUCUUUUAAGUGGGACGACAAUGACGGUACCACUUGAAUAAGCUCCGGCUAACUACGUGCCAGCAGCCGCGGUAAUACGUAGGGAGCAAGCGUUAUCCGGAUUUACUGGGUGUAAAGGGCGUGUAGGCGGGACAUCAAGUCAGAUGUGAAAGCACGAGGCUCAACUUCGUGUCUGCAUUUGAAACUGACGUUCUUGAGUGUUGGAGAGGCUAACGGAACUCCUAGUGUAGCGGUGAAAUGCGUAGAUAUUAGGAAGAACACCAGUGGCGAAGGCGGUUAGCUGGACAAUAACUGACGCUGAGGCGCGAAAGCGUGGAUAGCAAACAGGAUUAGAUACCCUGGUA
This 434-nucleotide ribosomal RNA is filed under the name uncultured Oscillospiraceae bacterium. RNAcentral's name for it is "bacterial SSU rRNA". It matches the Rfam family "Bacterial small subunit ribosomal RNA", at positions 341 to 792 of the family's 1533-position model. Lineage: Bacteria; Bacillati; Bacillota; Clostridia; Eubacteriales; Oscillospiraceae. The record is from RNAcentral.